Molecule: ribosomal RNA, 253 nt
Filed under: uncultured bacterium
Lineage: Bacteria
Description: partial 16S ribosomal RNA
Rfam family: Bacterial small subunit ribosomal RNA
Source: RNAcentral
UACGUAGGUGGCAAGCGUUGUCCGGAUUUACUGGGCGUAAAGGGCGUGCAGGCGGUCUGUUAAGUGCAGGGUGAAAGCUCCCGGCUCAACUGGGAGAGGUCCUUGCAUACUGGCGGACUUGAGGGGGGUAGAGGAAAGUGGAAUUCCCGGUGUAGUGGUGAUAUGCGUAGAGAUGCGGAGGAACACCGAUGGCGAAGGCAGCCCCCUGGGUUAACACUGACACUCAUGCACGAAAGCGUGGGGAGCAAACAGG